UAUCUAUCCAUCAAUAAUUGAUUUUUUGUGAAAGGUCAAAAGUCAAAAUGUGUUUCCCUCAGAUGGCUAUUCAGUUGUUCUGACGGUUAUUGGACAAUCCAUCUUUUACCUACUGAUUUGAAAUGACACUUUGAUCAUAUCUUAAAUUCCUGCAUGUAUUUGAGUCCAUUCCAGGACUCCCUGUUGUGCUCUAUUGUUCUGUUCUUCCAGGCAUAAUAUCAUAUUGUUUUAAUUAGUAUAGCUUUAUAAUAUCUUUUGUUCUCUACUUGGACUUACCUUUUCAUUACUCACUUUUCUCAGAAUGUUCUUGACUGUUCAUUUUUCCAUAUUAACCUUAGAGCUCAUUUUUCCAUGUUAACCUUAGAAUCAGCUGGUUUCAUUCUAAAUAUUCCUGUUGGUGCCUUUAUUGAGAUAACUUUGAAUGGACAUGUUUAAUUUAAUAUUGAGUCUUACUAGUUAUUCCUCUGAAUUUUAAGAUGAGUUUUCUUGAAGUCAACAACUAUAUGAGGACAAGCAUUAAUACUAUUCUCAUUUUACAGAGGCAGCAGAAAUCUUCUGAGAGGUUGAAAACAUUUCUUAUUCCUCAAGUUCACAAAACUGACAAGCCUUGGAAAGGGCCUAGGCCCAGAUGGUCUCCCUUAUACGCUUGAUCUUCCAUCUACUCAGUCUCAUCUAGCCCUUAUGACAGGGAGAGGCAGCUCCUGGAAACCAAUGACACAUCUGUUGUGGCAUGCAGUCAGACAAACCAGCAUGGGGUGGCAAAAUAGCACGGGCUUUGUGCCUAGCAAGAUCCCAGUUUCCUUCAUGACUUUGUUAUUUCCUAUCUGUGAGACCUUGCAGAAACUCUUUUUUAGACAGUACUUGAUUUGCAGAGGAUUAGGAGACUACGCCCUACCUAAUACUUGGCACUUGGAGGCACUCAAUCAAUGGAGUGGGGAUUCUUCCUCGCAGAAUGCCUGUAUCCAGUUAGGGAAAUGGUUGAAGACAAAAACUGAAGAAGCCACAGAAGACUGGUGAUUGCACUUAAGAAACAGCCUGAAACUACGUGAGGUCUGAAGGCAGAUGCUGACAGAGUUACCAGUGGUUACAACAGACCCGGACUUCCUGUGAGGCGCCGCUGGUGGUCUGGUGCCCUCUGCUGGUGAAGCCGCCUGGCUUUCUUGUUGCUUGGUUUCCUCUGGAUUUUUAUCUUCAUCUUCCUGGCGCAACAUCUUUCAGCAGAGUGUGCCGUUCUUAUACGAAGGUAAGAAGCCAUUCUGCUGGACACCUUACUUGAAGAAACACUCAGAGAGAAUCAAAGAAAGCAGGACUUGGCAUUUCUUCGACAGUAUACCCCUGUGUGUGAACGCUCCCUUUUUCCUGCCAUCCGCCGAGGGGGAACUUUCUAGUACUCAGUUCCCAAUGUGACCCUUGCCCCCCUCAGCUCUGGCAUUCUUUUAAUUCCCUUUGAAAGAGAGUGUACAUUCUUCUCCAGAACACACAAGAGGAGGCAGCCAAGAAGAAGAGAAGUCUGGGAGCCCUGGAAGAAGUUAGGCAGGAGCGCCUCAUCCUCAGGGAGCCAAGAUGGAGACGACCCAUGACUCGACCCUAGAAAGGCAGGUCAGCUUCUGCAGGGUGGUAGUGAGGGCAGGCUCAUGGUGGAAAGAGGCAGGUCUUCAUGGACUGGGGCCAAGUCCAACAGAUCAGCUGAGAUGACAAGUCAGGCAAGUAGAAAUUGAGUCGAAGUGCUUAAGCCAGAGACAGAUGAGUGACUCAACUGGUUAAGAUUUGGUUAGUAAAAGGCUAGGGUUCUCACAUGCUCACUUGAAAUUUUUGUUCCAUAGUCUUCUCUGGGAAAAUAGAAAAUAAAUUGUGCGGUGGCCCUGCUGCUGUCA
Molecule: non-coding RNA, 1874 nt
Organism: Macaca mulatta (Rhesus monkey)
Lineage: Eukaryota; Metazoa; Chordata; Mammalia; Primates; Cercopithecidae
Source: RefSeq, a predicted model, not a curated record